AAGAAAAGCUGUGCCGCCGACAAGAAUUGAUGCCUUGCGGCCGAAGGCUCUGGUGACUGAGGAGGCAAAUAAGGAGGCAAUAAGGCCAGCAAUGUAUAGAGAGGACGUGAAGGUGGUUAAUAGUUGGCUGUCAAACUUGCAGUAAUUGCUAAUGUUGGUGUCUUCUUUCAUUUUUCUGUACACUUCUGGGAAGAAUUUCUUCAAAAAUGGCUCCAUUGAUGUCACUCCACCUUAGCAUAAAUAUACACAAUUAAAUUUUUAAGUUUCGUUUGAGAAUUUAAAUCGGCUCUUACUAACCAUACAGAAAGGCUUAGUCAAGACUCAAAGACUGCAAAAUGUUAUUAGAAAGGAUUAAACUAUAAUAUUUUCGAAACGUUUGGUUUAUUCAUUAUUAAUUACGAAAAACAAUGACUCGCGUGAGAAAAAUUCAAACUUUUGGGUGCUUUGAAAUUACAAAGUUUCACAUCGUAGUUCAACACUUCUUAAGUUACAUUGAAAUCUGUCCACACAAAUUAAUUGGCAAUCUAUUAUUAAUCAUAGCAUUUUUCGUCAAAUCCGUCACUAUCAGUUAUCAUGCCAAAGCACGCCAUGUGAGACCAAAGGAUUCAUUGACUCCUAUGGUAUAAUUAAUAACAUACCUUGAAAGAUUGUAAUUAAUAAUUCUCAAGCAAAGAGAUACGUAUUAAUUUCUGCAAGUUAAUUGCCACUAGUUAUCUACAAAAUGAUUGUUAAAAAAAAAAAACUAUGAACUCUAAUACAAUAUUUUUGUCUUUACAGUGCAUGGAAGUUUGUAACGUUUUAUUAUUUUGCCUGCCUGAAACCUGCAUUUCACAAGAUGGACUUACGCACUAUAUAUAUAUCAGUUUACUGUAUAUUUUGAACAUGUAUGUUAAACUCAAAUAUGUUUCUAACUGUAUAUUUUGAACAUGUAUGUUAAACUCAAAUAUGUUUCUAACUGUUAUAAUUCGGUUUUAUUUUAUAAGCAAUCGAACUAAAGUGUUUAGUAAAUACUAAUCGUAAGUCACUAGAUAGCUAAAAUAUUUGAUAAUUAACAUGCACUUUUACUUGGCACAUAGGAUAAAGAUUUUCAAAAGUUUGGUUGAUUUUCUAAAAACAUUCCACUAGCUAUGUAUACGUUAAUCCAAGAUCAGUGAUGGGCUUGAUAGAAUGAAGCGACAAGAAGAAAUUGGAGAAUUUAACCAAUCAAUAAAUUUCGAGCUGAGGAACAAAGAGAUAUACAAAUACAAUUUAAGUAGAUAAACAGACCUGAAAUUCCAAUAUCAUAUCCGAAAAUAAGACCUCCAGUGGCAGCAACAAUACAAGACAAGACAACAAAUGCAGUCAUCUUCCCAUUGUAAUACUGCCCACCUUCACUAGUUAUUGCAAAGCCUGCUGCCAUAUCGACUGCGGAUAGCUAAGCUGAAUCUUCAAAACUGAUCAGGAGUACUGAUCAUAGCAACUUAUAUAAAGAAGAGAAAAGAGACAGCGGUGUGUGUGUGUGUGUGUUGAAGAUUAAUUGCAGAAGGCGAAGGCUUAAAAGUACCUGCAGUCUUUCUUGACUAGUAGCCGUAUACGCUAAUAUCAGCACCGUUAGUCAUGCAUGGCUUUGGAGUUAUGAUCAACAUGGCAGCGUGUGCUUUGAGGCCAAGGUCCGUGUUCAAAUUUCACUAAUGUACGUGCCUUGAUAAAUAAAUAAACAAAUUAAGAAAAUAAAAACACGUGGCAAUCUAUGCGUGGGGUUGUUGAAUAUUGAAGAACUAAUCAUUGUGAAAGCAUAUGGAGUCAAGAUAAAAAUAGCAGCUGCUAAGUACCUCAUUGGAAAAUUUAAGAUGUUGUGCUUCAAGAAAUCCAUGUAAGUAUAAUAUAUUGGAUCAGUAACCCAGAAAUAUCAUUGCUUUGCGCUUAUAGCCAUCAAUUGAGGUGUUGUGUACUGCUCUGGAAGAAGAGUCACUUGCUAAUUAUCAAAAGAUUAAAAUAGCGAAUGUUACCAAAUAUCUAGUUAUUGAGCUUUCGAAGUCAAGUAGAAUCACCGGAUUUUUAAGCGCAGAAUCUCUUACAAAAUAAUCAACUAUGAUGAAUUGACAAGUCAAAGUUGGUGUGCAGUCUGUUUGAUUUUGCUUAGAGCCCCAAAAUUUGCCAUUAAUAGUCAAAAUAACAGAAUUCAUAGCAUAAAUAUUAAAACUUGGAAGUCUAAUAAUUUUUUACUACCAAGUUAAAAAUUUUUAAAAAAAAAUUAAGAAAGGACUUCUAAAAGACAAAUUUGACUUUGAUUCACUAGUCUGUUACUAAUGUAUAUACACGUGUGUGUGUGUGUGUAUAAUCAUUCUCAUAUGCGGGCGUCUUCAUUUUUUCUUAAUGCGGAUACGCUUUAAACUAUGAGCUUAACAAACUUAUUUUUGAAUGAAAUAUAAAACUCUGUGAUUGAAUAGUAUUAAAAAUUAACUCUCUUAAACUGCAUGUCUUAAAAAUAUAUUCGCAUGAAUAAAAAAAAAAAAAAGUGGCUGCCCGCACUAUAGAAGGACUCUAUAUACAUAGAGUCAUUUUUUCUAUUUUUUUUUCCUGCGAACAUAUUUCUAAGUCAUGCCACUUAAUAAAGUUAAUUUUUGAAUGUAUAUACUCCUUGUCUUUCUUUCUUUUUUUUUUUCAUUUAUUUUUCACUUUACUAAAAUAAAAGAUUUCUUGAUUGAAUAAUUACUUUAUAAAUAUCAUGCCUUAAGAUACCAUGUUCAUCCUGAUAAUAAUGGCUGCUGUGAAGAAUCAACACAUACUAACCAAGAAGCACACGUAAUAAUACAGUUAACAUGCCGAGGAAGCCGGCCGCAGUAUCUGUGAAGCAAAAUAAGUCAGCAGAUGAAGUGGCAACAGUGACAUGGCCAAACAACUGCACAGAGCAACCUCAGCAAUCAGCAUAUGCAUAGGAAAGAAUCCUAGAUGAUAACUGAUGGCUGGAUUUGUGCCAGCAGAGGCUGAAUUUAGUGAGCCGAUCUUAUCUUACGGCUUGCCCUGUUUGUAUGCAUAUACAAACAACUUUUGUAUUCACCGUUUCAUUUUUCAAGCAUCAUCAAUGAAAUGGUAACAUUUUUCUCUGAUGUUUGCUCUGCAAAUAUUUGCCAUAUUAAGCUAAGUUUAAUAACUCAAGUCGUCCACUACCCCACAAAACCAAUGCUCCCUCUGCCCGCUAUUCAAAUAAGUAUUUAUUUUCUUUUAUUUUCUUUUAUAAUAUUUUAAUAAAAUUAAGAUAUUUUUAUAAAAGGGAUUUUAUUUACAAGUGUUCUCGAGAAACCAUUGUUUAUUCGUUUUGAGAAUGCAUCAUGGCUGAAAGAGUGAAUAAUUAUUGGUGGGAACUGAGAAGUCUGUGGGAGUGCAGGUUGAAAUUGGCAAAUAACGGCUUCAAGAAGAGCUGUAGAGGACACACGUAAUUUAUAUGGAAGCAUUCCGAGAUAAUACCAAUAACACCAUAACAACUUUAACACUACUGAAUUAUGGAAGAUCUCAAGAUUUGCUACAGCAGUAAUCAUAGUUAUGUCUCAAAAAGAAGUUUCUUUCUGCAUUUUCUUCGUUUUAUUCUCGGUUUUCAAGUAGCUCUACUAUAGUACCUGUUGGCGUAACAGGCGCUUCUGAUUUUCUCUGAAAGUACUUCAGGUGUAUCUACACUAGAAGUAAAUACACAACUGUUAAAAAUUUAGCUAAUCACUUGUAAGUACUUCCAAACCUUCAUUAAAAUUUGUAUCAUACCGCUCCUUGUAUCUUACUUUCUUCCCCUACAUCAUCAAAAAAUUUCCUCCAAAACCAAUGCUCUCUCCAAACUUUAUCCAUCAGCUCAAUUGGAACAUUUUUAGUCUCAGGCAGAAAAAAGUGCGCAAAUGUAGUCAUCACUGUCAGCCAUCCUCCAAAGAAGAAGAAAACCCCCGCCUUAAAAUGGCAAAGCAUGGCUAAAAAUGUUUGAGCAACUAAGGAAGUAAACAAAAGACCAACAGCAACAGUAAUGCUUUGCCCUGCUGAUCUAAUCUCCAAUGGAAAAAUUUCACUUGGAACCAACCAUCCCAAUGGCCCCCAUGAAAAACCAAACCCAGCUUUGUAUACACAAAUUAGAACUAAAAUUAAGUAAGCAUAGCCUAUGCUGAAUCCUCCGUGAUCACCAAGUUGAGCUGCCAUGAUUGAUCCAAUCAUUACUUGUGACACUAGCAUCUGUAUUCCCCCAAGUAGAAACAAUACUUUCCUGCCAAGUUUAUCUGCUAGAAUCAUUGGCAAGAUUGCUGAAACUGUACCUAUACCACCAGUGACAAGUGCAGACAUCAGUAAUGAUGUAUUUUCGCUUAGCUUAAUGGUCCUAAAGAGUACAGGAGCAUAGAAUGAAAUGAUAUUGACUCCUGUCACUUGUUGAAAAAAUGGUAUCAGUAUUGCCAUUACUAGCUGAGGUCUGUAUUUUCUUUGUAUGAUUUUCUUAAAUGGGUGGUUAAUGUUUUUUGAAACAGAGCCUGCUCUGAUGAGAUCAUCGAGUUCUGCUUGAACAUCAGCUGUGCCGCGCACACGCUGCAGCAUCUUUUCAGCCUUUUGGUAGUCAUUGGUGCGCUGGAUUAUGCUGUUGGGUGUUUCGGGCAGGAAAAGUCCACCUAUUGUUAAUAUUGAUGCAGGAGCAGCAGCCAUUGCCAGGGAGAUUCUCCAGCCCCAGCCCCCCUUGAUCUUUUGGGUGCCGUAAUUGAGAAGAUUAGCGGAUAGGACACCAAUGGCAACACAUACUUGGAAGCCAAUGGUGAAUGCUCCUCUGUGUUUUGGUGGUGCCAUUUCUGAGAGAUAUAGCGGCACUGACUGCAAACAACAAAAUCAAAACUAAUUGAAAAUUGUUCAACAAAUCAAACAGUUUGAAAAUAAAAAUAGUUAAAACACUUACUUGGUUUGUAAAACCAAUCCCAACACCUAGCAACACACGCCCAAAUAUCAGCAUGUAAAUGUUUAAUGCAGCGCCCCCUAUGGCUGAACCAGCAAGAAAUGCCGUGCCGCCGACCAGGAUUGAUGCCUUGCGGCCGAAGGCUCUGGUGACUGUGGAGGCAAAUAAGGAAGCUAUGAGGCCAGAAAUGUACAGAGAGGACGUGAACGCGGCUAAUAAUUGGCUGUCAAACUUGCAAUAAUUGCUUAUCUUGGUGUCUUCUUUCAUCUUUCUGUACACUUCCGGGAAAAACUUCUUCAAAAAUGGCUCCAUUGAUGUCACUCCACCUUAAUCACAUACAAAUUCACAAAUUCACAAUUGUAAGGAACCCUGAAAGCUAACCCCAAUUCAAGGUCUUUGAUCGGCUGGGGAAUAAAGAUAACUAGAGGUUUUAAACCAUCAGGUGAUUGAUGAGUUAUAUGUAAAUCAUGACGGUGAUAUAUAUGAGCAGAAAAAAAAAAAAACCUGAAAUUCCAAUAUCAUAGCCGAAUAUAAGCCCACCGGUGGCAGCAACAAUACAAGACAAGACAACAAAUACAGUCAUCUUCCCGUUGUAAUACCGCCCGCCUUCACUAGUUAUUGCUAAGCCUGCUGCCAUAUUGGCUGCUGCUUUAUCUUCAAAACUAAUCAGCACUCACAGGUCACAGCAAGAGAGAAAGGAGAGUGAGAAAAGUUAGAAUUUAUUUGAAUCUUGUAAAAAACUGUUAAUCAAUCAAUAAAUAGUAUAUUAUUUAAGAUAAAAUUUAGGAUAAAAAAUUUAAAAUAUUUCUCCUUUUUCUAGCAGCAUUAUGACCUUGUAAUCAAGGUAGCCGUAAGCGGGGUUUGUGGUUGUUGACUGUUGACCACUAAUUAAUGCGAGGUGCUACGUGUAAUUCACAACUGCUUUGAUAAAGAGUCAGCGGCCAAUUAUCAAAGUAAAACUGCUGAGUCCUACCAAACGUUUAGUCAUCAAGUCAAAGAGGACCUUUUUUCUAACACCUUUGUUGAUCUAAAUGCAUGUAGGUCCGGGAGAAAAAUCUUCAUUUCACUAAAAUAAAGAUCAAAUGAAAAGUAAGUGUGUGUGUAUAUAUAUACUUUGUUGAAAAAUAAAAUAAAAUAUUUAAAUAUAUAUGUAUUUAUUUUAAUCUUUUAACUUAAUCCUCAUUUCGAUAAAAUGAAUAUCAUUUCUCUUCCAUGUUGCCAUGCCCAUCCACUUUGCCCACGAAAUUCUUUUAAAUAAAUCAAUGUUCCUCAAAACGCCAUUCAAAAAAAUAAAUUUUUUGUUAUUAAAAUAUUUUUUUGUUAAAAGGAAAGUGAUUAUUUGCUUCAGGUGUUAUUUACUUCAAGGGGGCUGUUAUUCAAUGCGUUUAACCAUGGCAUGUCUAUAGAUUUUGAUGGACUUGGCAGCUUUUCUCAAGAAAAGGAUUUUGAUGGGCUUAGUGCAUAUAUUUAAACACAGCAUAAAAGAAUCUCCGACAAAAUAAUUACAGCGAAUUAAUAAGUCAAAUAAAAUGCAGAGCACAAAUAUUGAAAGUUUGAAACUUACAGGCAAAAUUAAGUAGAAAUCGAGUCUUUUUUCUUUUUUUUUCUUUUAAAUAAAGUAAGGAGUGGGUAAAGACUAAAUAAUUUUUAUUUUAUUUUCCCCCCUUACUACACCCAUAAUCGAAUUUGGAUGAUCAGUAACUACAAGUUUUAUGCUGUUACCAACCCGAUUACACCCUUGGGGACAAAUUAGGCCUUUUACAUCUUACCCUCUUCAUCCACGUCACCCACAUAUUUCUUCCAAAACCAAUGUUGUCUCCAGAUUUUAUCCAUCUGCUCAAUCGGCACAUUCUUAGUCUCUGGCAAAAACAAGUGCAUAAAUGUAGUCAUCACCAUUACCCAUCCUCCAAAGAAGAAGAAAAUCCCUGCCUUAAAAUGGCAAAGCAUCGCUAAAAGUGUUUGCGCACUGAAGAAAAUAAACACAAGGGUAACUGCAACGGUAAUGCUUUGCCCUGCUGAUCUAAUCUCCAAUGGAAAAAUUUCGCUCGGAACCAACCAUGCCAAUGGCCCCCAUGAAUAUGAAAACCCGGCUGAAUAUACACAUACCAGGACUAAAAUUAAGUAAGCAUAGCCUUGGCUCAAUCCCCCGUGAUCACCGAGCUCAGCAGCCAUGAUUGAACCAAUAAUUACUUGUGAAACAAGUAUCUGUAUACCCCCAACUAAAAACAAUAUUUUCCUGCCAAGUUUAUCGACUAGAAUCAUUGAUGUGAUUGUUAAAACUGUACCUAUGCCACCAGUCACGACUGCGGACAAGAGUAGUGAUGUACUUUCACCUAGUUUAAGCGUCCUGAGUAGUACAGGAGCGUAUAACCCAAUGAUAUUGAUCCCUGUCACUUGUUGGAAAAAUGGUAUCAGUAUCGCCAUUACUAGCUGAGGCCUGUAUUUCCUUUGUAUGAUUUUGUUAAAUGGGUGGUUGAUAGUUUUGAGAUGGAGCUUGCUCUGAUAAGAUCAUUGAGUUCAGCUUCAACAUCAGCUGUGCCGCGCACACGCUGCAGCAUCCUUUUAGCCUCUUGGUGGUCAUUGCUGCGCUGGAUUAUGCUGUUUGGUGUUUCUGGCAUGAAAAGUGCACCUAAUGUUAGUAUUGAAGCAGGCGCUGCAGCCAUCGCUAGGGAUAUUCUCCAGCCCCAAUCGCCCUUGAUCUUUUGGGUGCCGUAGUUGAGAAGAUUAGCGGAUAAAACACCAAUGGCAAUACAUACUUGAAAGCCAAUGUUGAAUGCUCCUCUGUGUUUUGGUGGUGCCAUUUCUGAGAGAUAUAGUGGCACUGACUACAACCAACAAAUUAAAACUAACGGAUCAACAAACCAAAUAAUAAUAAUAAUAAUAAUAGUCAAACACUUACUUGGUUUGCAAAACCAAUGCCAACACCAAGCAACACACGCCCAAAUAUCAGCAUGUAAAUGUUAAAUGCGGCUCCUCCCAGGGCUGAACCAGCAAGAAAAGCUGUGCCGCCGACAAGAAUUGAUGCUUUGCGGCCAAAGGCUCUGGUGACUGAGGAGGCAAACAAGGAAGCAAUAAGGCCAGCGAUGUAUAGAGAGGAGGUGAAGGUGGUUAAUAGUUGGCUGUCAAACUUGCAGUAGUUGCUAACUUUGGUGUCUUCUCUCAUCUUUAUGUACACUCCUGGGAAGAACUUUUUUAAAAAUGGCUCCAUUGACGUCACUCCACCU
RNAcentral lists this long non-coding RNA (8112 nucleotides) under Citrus maxima (pomelo). RNAcentral describes it as "long non-coding RNA (CMAX_LNC003962)". The record is from RNAcentral. Lineage: Eukaryota; Viridiplantae; Streptophyta; Magnoliopsida; Sapindales; Rutaceae.